GUCAGUCAGUCUGUAGGCCUACCAUCAGCCAGGAAAGGAGACCGGCUCAGACUUCGUGCGGUCAAGUCAGUCACAGAGGCUAGUGUAGACUUUUCCACGAGACAACUUCAUUCUGAAAAUGUCUGACUACAUUGUGAAGAUCGAGGGAACUGGUCCUGGGGAGUCCGUGGCGACCACUGAGAAGUCCAGGGACCCGUCUCCUGAGCCUGCUGUCCUGCCCGUGACAGAUAUGUCCUUCCUUGGAGCAAUGGAAGACACGAAUGAGAUGCCUAGCUCGCUGGAACAAGCGAUGGACACUCAAACACAAGAAAAUGGUGAACAAGUGGAAGCGACUGAAAGUCAGAGGAAGAGACUAAAGGGAAACCUAGGUUUGUCCUCUGCUGGGUGCUCACUUGGAUUUAUGCCAAGCUUUGACUCAGUGUCCCUUACAUCUACGGUAAACACGGGUAACAACUCAGGGGAGAGUCUUGAGCAGCUGCAGUACCAAGGGGUCCUGAGGAUGGAUACAUGUGAUGAGGUGGAGGUCAAGGUGCCAGUAGAUAAUGACACCCUGACGACCACAGUCGUUGACUGUGACUCCUCGACCACCCUGGACCAGAUAGCCUCCUUGAGGACCUUUCAGGAGGAGAAGGACAGAGUGCUGGACAUGGAUACUGUGGAUUGUCUCUCGAGAACAAUUAGCUUUGAAAGCAGCCCAAUUCCGGAUAGGAUUGGAAGCGCAGAGACAUAUAGCAGUGGUGUACGCUCGGCAACCCCCUACGCUUCAAAACCAUCCCUUACAUCUAUUGACGCACAUUGGGCUGAAAACGAGGUGGAGGUCAAGGUGCUCGAUAUUGACUUCGCUUCAUUCACCCUGGACCGGAUUUCCUUCUCCAGUACUGUUCAGGAGGAGAAUGACAGAGUGACGGACAUGGACAAGGUGGAUUGUCGCUCCCUGUCGAGAACAGUUCGCUUUGAAACCAGCCCAAUUCCGGAGAGGAGUGGAAGCGUGAAGACGUAUUGCAGUAGUGUACGGUCACCCACCCCCUACCAGUCAAGAUUAUCCCUUACCUCCACAGAGGCACAUGAUCAUGUUGCACACAGCUCAGACAGCACACAAGCGAGCCUCCGAAUCCUGAUGGACCCUCUGGAGGAGCUUUUUGGUAUCUCUCAGGAUAUGAUAUACACAGAUGUCCAGGAUAGAGUGAUUGAAAUGCUGCAGGACAUCUACUCGGCGGCUAACCAACUAGAGCAACAGCUAUUCCAGAGUGUCUCUGACAGGCAAGCCAGAGCCAUUGUAAAGGCGGUAGUGCAGCAGAUCAAUGCUGCCCUGUCCCAGGCUCUCCAACAAACCUGCUCGGGAUCACAAUUACUUACUAUAGUGGGAUCUGCCAAGCUCUAUAGCAAAGAUGGGUCGGCAGCGGUUGAGGGUCAAGGAGUUCCUUUGAUCACCCCCUCAGCAGAGGGAGACAGGGAUAGCAUCGAGGAAGGAAGUAGACCGUUGAAACGUAGUUUUAACAGCUUCGUUCGUGUUUUGUCAGCAAAAAUGAGGAGGAUCUCCAAAGGGAUCAAACAGAGCAGCAAGAGUGCACAACAAGAGCACAGGCUAGUUGUUGAACUGCCAGUAUCAUCUGACAAGGGUACAGAGCAAGAGGAAACUGGAUCUAGUACAGUUUCAGUACCCUCUAGGGAGGAGAUCACCGAGGUCAGUGAAGUUCUUCAGUCGGAAUCUGAUGAUUCUCUACUUCCUACCAUCGGGGCAAUGCUGUUCCACGUUGGAUCCAUGCCUCAUACAGAGGAUUCAGUGGAGCUAUACAGCAGGGUCCCAUCAAAGUUGACACCAGAAAGUAUGGUGCAGGAAGAACGUGUUGAUGAAGGCUUGUCUAAGGCUUGUUCCAGGACAACUUCUUCAACCAGCACCACUUUAAGCAUGGACGACAUCCAGAAGACUGUUGCUACUAUGACCACUUCUGGAAGUGACAUGGGUAGAAGCAUUAUCACUACCCCAGAAAUGCCAGAGCAGAGUCUGCACCACCAGGGAAGAGGACUGGACAGCCCUGUCUUCUCAGAGAGAAGAGUGGCUGAAAGUGGCAAAAACAGCCCUGCAACUUGGUCAGACACAGAGGGAUUAAGUUCUGCAAAAAAGGCUGUUUGGGAGUUAAUGGAGAGGAUGGUGCUCAGCCGUGAGGAUGCAGCGUCAGCAGAGAAAAGCCUGGAUAUCCUCCUCUCCUCUGGCAUUCUCCGUCCUCACACUGACAAGUUAGUCGACCAGCUGCACAGCCUUUUGAUGGUGAACAGCACACUUACAGCACAAUCUCUGUCUGGCAGGUCAAAAUCAGAAUCUGCUCUGCCUAAGUCCAGAAUGACAGGGGAACUCCAAAGGGAGAUCUCAAGGAAGGGUUUGCUGGAGAUAGCAUAUACUAUCACCGAGAGAUCUAUAAAGACCCUUUUGGAGCAGUUGCUCACUGCCCUCCUCCCUCCUUCUGCAGUGGUUGAGGUUGCCAGGUCAUGCCAGAACAUCAGACCAGUCACUCCCUCUCAGGUGAUGAGUUCUGAAGUUAGCCCAGGGUGCUGCAACCCUCUUUCAAUGAUUUGCCGUGUGAUCAUAGAUGUCUUUACGAUCACAAGACAGGUGGUUGAGACAGCCAGUGAAGUGGAUAUGUCUCCCCCCGGAAAAUACAUUGAUGGAAGGCUUUGUAGCAACACAGCACCACUGCCCACUGAUUCAACCCCACCUGUCCCCCCGACCAACUGCGAGACCGACAGAUCUUUGGCUACCAAACCAACAAACAAAGUCAAGAGCUUGACAUUCUCAUUUCCUAAGCUUCCAAAGAUCAGUCUCAAAAAGAGCAAGAAAGUCAACAAAGUGGAUAUCGCUCCCUUUGAGACCACCAAGGAUCCUGUUGAUGUCGACUAUAAUAUAUUCUGCACUACUCCAACACCAGAGAAUGCACCACGACAAGAGGAAGAUCUUGCCUCCUGCUCCUCACAGAGGAAGGAGAGGCCAAAGAACCAAUUAUUUUUAAUCAGGGUAUACUCUGCCAUGACUAGGCCUGACAACAGCAAGCAUCAGUAGAAAUGUCCUUUUGGUUAUUUGGCAACACCACCAGAGGACCAUCUUUUCUCCUACUCCACAAUGAGGAAGGAGAGGCUCAAGAAGCAUUCCUUUUCACUGCCAUAACCAAUCAUUUCAACUCAGUCCUAUUGACAUCCCACUGGGCAAAAACUGGUUGAAUCAACGUCGCUUCCACAUCAUUUCAACCCCCCCAAAGAUCUAUGUGAUGACGUUGAAUCAACGUGGAGAACUGAUUGUAUUUGCUACAAGUCAUCAACCUUCCAAAGAAAUAUCUCAACAAAAAGGUAAGUGGAUCUCACUCCCCUUCCGACCAUCCAGAGUGAGACCACCAAGGGUCCUGCUUAUACCCUUCGGACCAUCCAGGGUGAGACCACCAAGGAUCCUCCAGAUGCCCUUUUGACCAUCCAGGGUGAAACCACCGAGGAUCCUCCAGAUGCCCCUCCAACCAUCCAGGGUGAAACCACCGAGGAUCCUGCUGAUGCCCUUCUGACCAUCCAGAUGUUCUACACCACCACCAGAGGAAGAACUUGCGUCCUGCUCCCAAAUGAGGCAGGCGAGGCCCAUGAAACGUCCUUUCACUUCCUUCAAUAAUAAACUG
Molecule: RNA transcript, 3653 nt
Organism: Coregonus clupeaformis (lake whitefish)
Lineage: Eukaryota; Metazoa; Chordata; Actinopteri; Salmoniformes; Salmonidae
Exons: 12
Source: RefSeq, a predicted model, not a curated record